RNAcentral lists this ribosomal RNA (920 nucleotides) under Arthrobacter agilis. RNAcentral's name for it is "bacterial SSU rRNA". It matches the Rfam family "Bacterial small subunit ribosomal RNA", at positions 61 to 981 of the family's 1533-position model. Lineage: Bacteria; Bacillati; Actinomycetota; Actinomycetes; Micrococcales; Micrococcaceae. The record is from RNAcentral.
GUUCGAACGAUGAACCUACACUUGUGGGGGGAUUAGUGGCGAACGGGUGAGUAACACGUGAGUAACCUGCCCUUGACUCUGGGAUAAGCCUGGGAAACCGGGUCUAAUACUGGAUACGACCUUCUGGCGCAUGCCAUGUUGGUGGAAAGCUUUUGUGGUUUUGGAUGGACUCGCGGCCUAUCAGCUUGUUGGUGGGGUAAUGGCCUACCAAGGCGACGACGGGUAGCCGGCCUGAGAGGGUGACCGGCCACACUGGGACUGAGACACGGCCCAGACUCCUACGGGAGGCAGCAGUGGGGAAUAUUGCACAAUGGGCGCAAGCCUGAUGCAGCGACGCCGCGUGAGGGAUGAAGGCCUUCGGGUUGUAAACCUCUUUCAGUAGGGAAGAAGCUGGCCUUUGGGUUGGUGACGGUACCUGCAGAAGAAGCGCCGGCUAACUACGUGCCAGCAGCCGCGGUAAUACGUAGGGCGCAAGCGUUAUCCGGAAUUAUUGGGCGUAAAGAGCUCGUAGGCGGUUUGUCGCGUCUGCCGUGAAAGUCCGGGGCUUAACUCCGGAUCUGCGGUGGGUACGGGCAGACUAGAGUGCAGUAGGGGAGACUGGAAUUCCUGGUGUAGCGGUGAAAUGCGCAGAUAUCAGGAGGAACACCGAUGGCGAAGGCAGGUCUCUGGGCUGUAACUGACGCUGAGGAGCGAAAGCAUGGGGAGCGAACAGGAUUAGAUACCCUGGUAGUCCAUGCCGUAAACGUUGGGCACUAGGUGUGGGGGACAUUCCACGUUUUCCGCGCCGUAGCUAACGCAUUAAGUGCCCCGCCUGGGGAGUACGGCCGCAAGGCUAAAACUCAAAGGAAUUGACGGGGGCCCGCACAAGCGGCGGAGCAUGCGGAUUAAUUCGAUGCAACGCGAAGAACCUUACCAAGGCU